This 319-nucleotide unclassified non-coding RNA is filed under the name Hevea brasiliensis (rubber tree). The record is from RNAcentral. Lineage: Eukaryota; Viridiplantae; Streptophyta; Magnoliopsida; Malpighiales; Euphorbiaceae.
UUGGCCUAUUUAUUCCUGCUAACUACACAAAUGAGAACAUUACAUUAGAGUGUGCAGUGUGCUGAACUUCCCAAGAGAACAAAGAAAAAGAAACAAUAAAGAUAUGAAGCAACAAUGGAAGCACAACGUGCCACUACCAGCACAACCCAGUCCCGCUCCAUAGCUACCCCCAAUGCUACUCCACAUAACCUCUCAAUGGCCCCAACUAAAACAAGUACAAGAAACCAAGGACGGAGAAGAAUGGAUGUCGCAAUAGAAUUUUGCGGUCGCCUGGACGAUCACUCACCGAAGUGGAAAAGAGUGAGGAGUCGCCACUUUA